CGCGCAGGCCGCCUUAUCGCCUUUAUUUAUAAAGGAGGAAAGUCCGGGCACCAUAGGGAAGCAUAGCGGCUAACGGCCGUCGGUUCAUUUUUAAUGGAUCAGGACCAGUGCAACAGAAAGAAUGUACAGAUCAUGCUGUAGUGAAACCAGGUAAACUCUAUGCGGUGAAAUGCCAUGUAAACCUAUGUUUGAGAGUUCCCGCUUGAGUAGGAGGGUAGGCAGAUGGAGUGCUGAAGUAAUUCAGCACCUAGAUAAAUGAUGAGGAUUCGCCUCGGCGAAUACAGAAUCCGGCUUAUAGGCCUGCUUUUUUU
Cryomorphaceae bacterium BACL21 MAG-121220-bin10 is the source of this 311-nucleotide non-coding RNA. The record is from Rfam. NCBI's taxonomy places the organism in Bacteria, Pseudomonadati, Bacteroidota, Flavobacteriia, Flavobacteriales, Cryomorphaceae.